This 314-nucleotide long non-coding RNA is filed under the name Nicotiana benthamiana. RNAcentral describes it as "long non-coding RNA (NBEN_LNC017410)". Lineage: Eukaryota; Viridiplantae; Streptophyta; Magnoliopsida; Solanales; Solanaceae. The record is from RNAcentral.
UCACUUUAUAUCCAUUAGGAAGAGUUACAAGGUAGGGUACAGUUAAAGGUGUUAUGUUGAAGAGUAAACUUUUAUCAUAUGUCAUAUGAUUAGAUGCUCCUGAGUCUAUUAUCCAGGUGGCAGAGUUAAUAUGGGUAAGCAUUCAAAGCUUGGAAUCAGAAAUAGGGCUCUCAGUUAGCAUAGUACCAGCAAAAUUAGCAGCAUACAUGGGAGGAGGAGUCUGAGGAGUGGAAUCCCCUAACUGAGUCUGUUGUAACAAGCUCAUCAAUUGGUCAUACUGUUGUCUGCUCAACCCUGGUAUCACAGAACUCUGG